UAGGGUGGAGGGCGGAAUGGGUAGGCGGCUGGCGCGCUCUCGACCAGGGGGUGGCGCGCACAGGAGGUGGCAGGCUCUGCUCUGGUGCGUCAGAGCCUGCAGUGAGCCCGGCAGUGAGGCGAAACGUUGGGCUCCGCGCGGGAGUCUCGUGGCCGCCCGUUUCUCUCGAGAGUCGGGGUGCCUUUUCCCACGAACCAUAAUUUACGCACGACGCCACGAUACCCCCUGCCACCACCACCACCACCAUCACCCUUCCCCCAUCCCGUUUCCUAUUCGCCCGAGUCCACUUUCGCCAGCAUCCCUCAUCAGUUCGUCGUAUCGGGAAAUUUCACGCACUUUCGGCUAAUUUGUGGUAAAAAGCGCGCCGGCACGCACGCACGACUUUCGGUAGGCAGCCCUUCUCAAGUAGUUUCGGUAUAGAAAACUUUGUGGUUAGACCGCGCGAUAGUCAUGGGGCAAUACGCCACUCUUUCAGUGUUCUUCCACGAUGAAAGGGAUUGUCUCGCGGGGAUGCGGAUACCCCGUGGAUGGCACGCGGUAGAUGCUGCGAAACCGGCCGGAAGACUUUAACGCUUCGAUCGAGCGUCGAACGAUGCCGGUCAUCGUUCGAGAUCGUCGAUGAUUAUGAAAUCUUUUUUUUUUUGGUGUCAGGAUGUCAUUAAUUCGCGGAUUGAAAGCCGCAAGAGUGUGUAAUUUCCUAUGGUCCAUGAAUCAGUAUAAUUAUCAACGAAAUCGAGUUGUUUAGAUGAUAUUCGAAGCAAGAUUAAAUUUGUUAUUUUAAUAAGUUACUGGUAAUUGCAACAAAUAAGACCAUUAUUAGUCUAUAAAAGUCAUUAUCAGCUUUGUACCAAUUUAUUGACCAAUCAAAGCCACUUUUUUUUCAAAAUUAGUGAAACUAUAUUUCACAAGUCGUGCGUACGUGCCGGUCUCGUGUUGCUUUUGGCUCUUGGCCAAUAAACGAAGGAAUGUGCGAAUUCGAGAAAAGCAAUUGGAAAAGACAGGGAUGGAUUAGAGAGUGAAAAUGGUGUUUCAUCAGUUAGAGAAAAGAAGAAAGCGCGAUCUGUGGCUAAUAUAUCAUGUGACGUGAUUAUUUUGUGAUUGUGUGUAGCGAGAGGCGAUUUAAUAUCGGGCGUUAUCACGUCGGCUGAGGGAAAAGCGAAUUCUUCAGCUGUUCGUGUUGUGAGGACGACGAGUCCUUGGGCCCUUUAGCCACGUUCUGAAAACGAGCGAAAGUGCAGUGUGCAAUACUCCUUCGAACGCCGUCGCCGACUGCACCUGCAGGGGUGCAUUGAUCCGACGGUGAGAAAAGUCUCACCAUCCCAGACGUGAAAGUUUGCCACAGCCGCGUCGUUGGUUGGUGAGUUGGCGAAAAAUAUGUCUCCAGUAACAAAAGCGCGUUUAGCAGCGCGACUUAUCUCUAACAGAGCCUCGGCCAUUACCACGCCAAUUUCCAGAUAUUUUUAAGGGGAUCAAUAGUGGACUGUUUGCGGUUCUUAUGCAUCUGGCACACGCGCGCCGACCAACAUGCAAGCGCCAUGGGCAUUUUUUUUCACUUUUCUGCCUCUUUGAAGCGUUUGAUCCUUUGAAGCACGCCUCUUUAAUUGCUUAGUCUAUGAAAAAUAUGUUACUACCAUGUCCAUUAGAAGUCGCGUGUAUUUGAACUCUCAGAGGUUGUGAUUAGCCAUAGAUCUUUACUUUUUUCUCUUUUAUAGUAUGGAAUAAUUUUUCACUGAAAAAUUUUGCCAUUAUUGAUCGAAUUUUCUUUUGUUCAGAAAUGUGUAUCAAGAUCCUUUCAGACUAAUUUUCUAAGCUCGUUCUAAAAUAUUUAACAUUCAUUAUGUAUACGCGCAUAAUCAGCAUUAGGCUCUUUCAUUUGUAUCUGCGUAAUGUAAUUAUGAUUACAAGCAAUUUGCAAAGUAAUCUCGGAAAUCGUCGCAUGAAUCUUUUUUGCAUCGAAUGGCUGGCGCGUGAUGUUUCUUGAGAGGGUGGAAGUUCCUACGUUUUUCCCUCCGUUGCAACCGUUUUUUCCGGCUUAGCCUCGUUCUUCCGCGAUAGCACCUUUAUUAAUAGCGCGUCGCAACAGAAACUAAGUAUCUCCUGUCGUUGAAUAAAUAUUCAUUUUUCGCACUUUCCACAGCCUUCUAACAAGUGGCUGAUAAACCUGCUUAGUUAUUGCUCGAAUUAUUUUCAAGAAAACUUAUUUACUAAGUAUUAUACCUUUCGGUAAUAACAGCUUUACAUUAAAAAUUACACUUAAAAAUGAAAAAUCGAAAAUUGCUUUAGAAUAUUAUACUUAAUAUUUAUUUGUUAAACACAAUUACCGAAAAUAUUUAUUAAUCAGAUCGUUUUAUCAUAAACGCUGUGUAGUAGAAUAAGUUUUAACAAACAUGUGUAAUUAUGAGGCUUUGCUAGAAAGUAAUUCUAAGUUUUCCCUCGUUCUUUCGCAAUUCUCUCUUUAGUAUUAAAAUGAUGGGAAAAAUUUUCUUGUGUGAAUAAAGAAAAAAAA
Molecule: long non-coding RNA, 2506 nt
Organism: Monomorium pharaonis (pharaoh ant)
Lineage: Eukaryota; Metazoa; Arthropoda; Insecta; Hymenoptera; Formicidae
Exons: 3
Source: RefSeq, a predicted model, not a curated record